GGGUCAGUAGGUUGGUCGUGCCACCGGUACGUACUGGUCUCACUGAUUCCUCCUUCCUGAAGAACCGUAAUGCCAUUAAUUUGGUGUUGCGGGGAAACAGGACUGUUACUUUGAAAAAAUUAGAGUGCUUAAAGCAAGCUAACGCUUGAAUACAUUAGCAUGGAAUAAUGGAAUAGGACGAUCGAUCCUAUUUUGUUGGUUUCUAGGAUUGACGUA
Molecule: ribosomal RNA, 216 nt
Filed under: Glomeromycotina sp.
Lineage: Eukaryota; Fungi; Glomeromycota
Description: partial small subunit ribosomal RNA
Rfam family: Eukaryotic small subunit ribosomal RNA (bases 40-216)
Source: RNAcentral